Molecule: small nuclear RNA, 109 nt
Organism: Suricata suricatta (meerkat)
Lineage: Eukaryota; Metazoa; Chordata; Mammalia; Carnivora; Herpestidae
Source: Ensembl
AUGUCUUCAAGGUUCAGCCAAGUAUAGGAAAAAAAAAAGACACAGAGAAGAUUAUCAUGGCCCCACACACAAGGAUGACAUGCAAAUUUGUGAAGCAUUCCUUUAUUUA